RNAcentral lists this ribosomal RNA (400 nucleotides) under uncultured bacterium. RNAcentral's name for it is "bacterial SSU rRNA". It matches the Rfam family "Bacterial small subunit ribosomal RNA", at positions 355 to 771 of the family's 1533-position model. The record is from RNAcentral.
UGAGGAAUCUUCCACAAUGGGCGAAAGCCUGAUGGAGCAACGCCGCGUGCAGGAUGAAGGCCUUCGGGUCGUAAACUGCUUUUAUCUGUGAAGAAUAUGACGGUAACAGAGGAAUAAGCACCGGCUAACUACGUGCCAGCAGCCGCGGUCAUACGUAGGGUGCGAGCAUUAUCCGGAGUGACUGGGCGUAAAGAGUUGCGUAGGUGGUUUGUUAAGUGAAUGGUGAAAUUUCGUGGCUCAACCGCGAAACUAUUAUUCAAACUGGCAAACUCGAGAGUAGCAGAGGUAACUGGAAUUUCUAGUGUAGGGGUAAAAUCCGUAGAUAUUAGAAGGAACACCAAUGGCGUAGGCAGGUUACUGGGCUAUUUCUGACACUAAAGCACGAAAGCGUGGGGAGCGA